AAUGAACGCUGGCGGCGUGCUUAACACAUGCAAGUCGAGCGAGAAAGCUCCUUCGGGAGUGAGUACAGCGGCGGACGAGUGAGUAACACGUGAGAACCUACCCUUUAGUGAAGAAUACCCACGAGAAAUUGUGGUUAAUACUGCAUACGUCCCUUCGGGGAGAAAGGUGGCUUUAUGCUACCGCUAAGGGAUGGGCUUGCGGACUAUCAGCUUGUUGGCGGGGUAAAGGCCCACCAAGGCUAUGACGGUUAACCGGCCUGAGAGGGUGUACGGUCACGUUGGAACUGAGAUACGGUCCAGACUCCUACGGGAGGCAGCAGUGAGGAAUAUUGCACAAUGGGCGAAAGCCUGAUGCAGCGACGCCGCGUGGAGGAUGACGGCUUUCGGGUUGUAAACUCCUGUUAAGUGGGAUAAAAUCCUUACCUCUAAUACAGGUAAGGGAUGAUAGUACCAUUAGAGAAAGCACCGGCUAACUUCGUGCCAGCAGCCGCGGUAAUACGAGGGGUGCAAGCGUUAUUCGGAUUUAUUGGGCGUAAAGGGUGCGUAGGUGGUAUGUCAAGUCUGUUGUUAAAUCUUUCGGCCUAACCGAAAGCCUGCAAUGGAAACUGGCACACUUGAGGAUGGAAGAGGGAAGUGGAAUUCUCGGANUAGCGGUAAAAAUGCGUGGAUCUCGAGAGGAACACCGAUGGCGAAGGCAGCUUCCCGGUCCAUAUCUGACACUGAGGCACGAAAGCGUNGGGAGCAAACAGGAUUAGAUACCCUGGUAGUCCACGCUGUAAACGAUGAUCACUGGACGUUGGUCUGGCUCUGCCGGAUCAGUGUCGAAGCUAACGCGUUAAGUGAUUCGCCUGGGAACUACGAUCGCAAGAUUAAAACUCAAAGGAAUUGACGGGGGUCCGCACAAGCGGUGGAACAUGUGGUUUAAUUCGUCACUACGCGAGGAACCUUACCUAGGCUUGACAUGUUUUUGACAGGUGCAGAAACGCAUCCUUCCAGGCUUCGGUCUGGACAAAUUCACAGGUGCUGCAUGGCUGUCGUCAGCUCGUGUCGUGAGAUGUUGGGUUAAGUCCUCUAACGAGCGCAACCCCUACUAUCAGUUGCCACUACUUAGCUGUAAGCACUCUGAUGGGACUGCCUGGGAAACCAGGAGGAAGGUGGGGAUGACGUCAAGUCAUCAUGGUCCUUAUGCCUAGGGCUACACACGUGUUACAAUGGCUAGUACAAAGGGCUGCAAACCUGCAAAGGUGAGCUAAUCCCAUAAAGCUAGUCUAAGUUCGGAUUGAGGUCUGCAACUCGACCUCAUGAAGUUGAAAUCGCUAGUAAUCGCAUAUCAGCUACGAUGCGGUGAAUACGUUCUCGGACCU
Molecule: ribosomal RNA, 1364 nt
Filed under: uncultured bacterium
Lineage: Bacteria
Description: bacterial SSU rRNA
Rfam family: Bacterial small subunit ribosomal RNA
Source: RNAcentral